RNAcentral lists this ribosomal RNA (491 nucleotides) under uncultured bacterium. RNAcentral's name for it is "partial 16S ribosomal RNA". It matches the Rfam family "Bacterial small subunit ribosomal RNA", at positions 29 to 506 of the family's 1533-position model. The record is from RNAcentral.
AGUGAACGCUGGCGGUAGGCCUAACACAUGCAAGUCGAACGGCAGCACAGUAAGAGCUUGCUCUUACGGGUGGCGAGUGGCGGACGGGUGAGGAAUACAUCGGAAUCUACUUUUUCGUGGGGGAUAACGUAGGGAAACUUACGCUAAUACCGCAUACGACCUACGGGUGAAAGCAGGGGAUCUUCGGACCUUGCGCGAUUGAAUGAGCCGAUGUCGGAUUAGCUAGUUGGCGGGGUAAAGGCCCACCAAGGCGACGAUCCGUAGCUGGUCUGAGAGGAUGAUCAGCCAACUUGGAACUGAGACACGGUCCAGCCCCCUACGGGAGGCAGCAGGGGGGAAUUUUGGACAAGGGGCGAAAGCCUGAUCCAGCCAUACCGCGUGGGUGAAGAAGGCCUUCGGGUUGUAAAGCCCUUUUGUUGGGAAAGAAAAGCAGCAGGUUAAUACCCCGCUGUUCUGACGGUACCAAAAAAAUAAGCACCGGCUAACUUCGU